AGCACAGUCAGCUAACCUAAGCUUUUGGGCCCAUACCCCAAAAAUGUUGGCCACAACCAACCUAUGCUA
Molecule: transfer RNA, 69 nt
Filed under: Loxopholis parietalis
Lineage: Eukaryota; Metazoa; Chordata; Lepidosauria; Squamata; Gymnophthalmidae
Description: tRNA-Met
Source: RNAcentral